GGGCUGGUUAGCAAGGGAGAGCUGCAUCCAUCUCACUUCAUGGAAGCCUCACAUGCCAUUGGCUGUCUGCAGUGGGAUGUGUUCCUUUGCAAUUAGGUAAAUGCCUUCUCAGGAGAUGUGGUGAUUCCUCCUCCGCUAGUGCCCCACCUCCCUCGUGCUUCUGCACAACGCCCAACAGGAAGGCAGGGGGCCAGGGGAGCCAAAGAGGGCUCAGAUAGUGACCUCAAAUGCACGCAGCCUGAGAGCUGGCCUGCUACUGCCUGCCUCGUUCCAAAGGGACAUUCGGCUCAGGGAGUCCAUAAACAUCAUGGCUUUAAAAUCCACCCAAGGAAGGAAGGAAGGAGGGAAGGACAUGGCCUGUGAUACAGGAAGAAGCAGUGCCCACUUUUUGCUUUGAGAAAAAGCCCUCAAAGCUAAGUCUUUAUGAAGAAUGGUGUCUGUCAUCCAGAGUGACUCCACGAGGUUUGUUGCGCUUUAUCUCAGUUUUACAGUUAGGGACAUGGAGGCGUGGACAGAAGGCGGAACAACGUGGUGGCAGCCAUGCUGGAACCACAGUCUUGCCGUGGAACUAGGCUCCUCACCUGUGUGCCGCGCUGCUCUUCCGUCUCCUUCAUGGAGGAGCAAGGACCAGAUCAAAGAGAGUGGCCACGUCUCUAUUUUUGGAAACUGCGGAUCAAUUUGGUGCAAGGGAGCGGUGUGAAGUUAGAACAAGGACUGUGUUUUGUUGCCACAUCGUGACAUGCUCGCAUAUUUCAACUUGCGCCAUGUAACCAAAUUCAUCAUUAUAAUAUUUUGCAGAGUCCCCAAGGUAUUGUUCCAAGACUGAUUUGUCCCCUGCACUUUUCCUUUUGCUUCCUCUUUGGGCUACGCUACCCAGUGGGCAUGGUUCCUGAGCCAAGAUCUUCUUGUUUAGGCUGUUAUGCUUAUUUGGGACUCAUGUUAGGUUUCAUGAACUUAAAUGGGGAGUAAGUAAUAAAUUCAUAGAGGAAAUUGGGUUAGCAUGUGAUUAACAUCCCGGCUGAUGUAGACAGGUGUACCAAUGAUGGGAACAUGUGCUUGUAUCAUGAUGAAAUGCAGAUUGGAGGCCCUGGAGCCAACCCAAGGAAAUGUGCCCAAAACUGUUUCAUCUCUGUCAGCUUUAAUCUGAUAGAAUGAGAGUGUGCUUCAAUGCAG
RNAcentral lists this long non-coding RNA (1173 nucleotides) under Fukomys damarensis (Damara mole-rat). Its description in RNAcentral is "lncRNA (ENSFDAG00000025422.1)". The record is from RNAcentral. Lineage: Eukaryota; Metazoa; Chordata; Mammalia; Rodentia; Bathyergidae.